Molecule: long non-coding RNA, 485 nt
Filed under: Homo sapiens (human)
Lineage: Eukaryota; Metazoa; Chordata; Mammalia; Primates; Hominidae
Description: HSALNT0316235
Source: RNAcentral
ACCGGUUUUUCCUUUCCAUGUUUAGUGCUUCCCUCAGGAGCUCAUGUAAGGCAGGUGACAUGGUGACAAAAUCUCUCAGCAUUUGCUUGUCUGUAAAGGAUUUUAUUUCUCCUUCCCUUAUGAAGCUUAGUUUGGCUGGAUAUGAAAUUCUGGGUUGAAAAUUCUUUUUGUUAAGAAUGUUGAAUAUUGGCCCCCACUCUCUUCUGGCUUGUAGGGUUUCUGCAGAGAGAUCCGCUGUUAGUCUUACGGCUUCCCUUUGUGGGUAACCCGACCUUUCUCUCUGGCUGCCAUUACCAUUUUUUUCCUUCAUUUCAAUUUUGGUGAAUCUGACAAUUAUGUGUCUUGAGGUUGCUCUUCUUGAGGAGUAUCUUUGUGGUGUUCUCUGUAUUUCCUGAAUUCGAAUGUUGGCCUGUCUUGCUAGAUGGGGGAAGUUCUCCUGGAUAAUAUCCUGAAGAAUGGAACCCUCAAAAUUUUGAAUUUCAAUG